Long non-coding RNA from Eriocheir sinensis (Chinese mitten crab), 2511 nucleotides. RefSeq lists it as uncharacterized. Lineage: Eukaryota; Metazoa; Arthropoda; Malacostraca; Decapoda; Varunidae. The record is from RefSeq and is a predicted model, not a curated record. The transcript has 2 exons.
ACACGCCAAGGCUGCCGCCGUGAAGUAUAUAUCUAUAGAGGCAACCAGCCCCUAAAACACUGCCAGGGCAACAACAACAACACACGCCAAGGCUGCCGCCGUGAAGUAUAUAUCUAUAGAGGCAACCAGCCCCUAAAACACUGCCAGGGCAACAACAACAACACGCCAAGGCUGCCGCCGUGAAGUAUAUAUCUAUAGAGGCAACCAGCCCCUAAAACACUGCCAGGGCAACAACAACAACACACGCCAAGGCUGCCGCCGUGAAGUAUAUAUCUAUAGAGGCAACCAGCCCCUAAAACACUGCCAGGGCAACAACAACAACACACGCCAAGGCUGCCGCCGUGAAGUAUAUAUCUAUAGAGGCAACCAGCCCCUAAAACACUGCCAGGAGAACAACAACUGCUGCCAUUACUGCUACUAUAACCUUCCUCAGCAAGACAGGCCGCCCACCACGCCGGUGUGUGGAGGGAAAGAGAACAAGAAAGGAACGAGGACAACAACAACACACUCCAAGGCUGCUGCCAUAAAGGUUGGGGCCGCCUCACCUGCAGGGCUGGACAGCAGCAUGAGUGGCCAGGACAAGCAGGAGCAGACUGCUGCAGAGGGGGCAGGAGGGUCAGUGGUCAGCAGAUGAAGCAACUUGCUGCUGGCAACUCCAGCAACAAAGGAGAGAGGAAGUUUGUGUGUCUGGAGUGUGGAAAAGAAUUCACUUCAAGGGGAGGCCUCAGAUAUCACACCCUUACACACACUGGUGUGAAGAACUAUGAGUGUAAGGAAUGUGGGAAAAAAUUCAUCUGUAAGAGUCACCUUGAUACACACACCCUUACACACACUGGUGUGAAGAAGUAUGAAUGUAAGGAAUGUGGGAAAAAAUUAAUCCAGAAGUGUACCCUUGAUAGACACACUAGUGUAAAGAACUAUGAAUGUAAGGAACAUGGGAAAAAAAUUCAGCGAGAAGGGUACCCUUGAUAGACACACCCUUACACACACUGGUGUAAAAAACUAUAAGUGUAAGGAAUGUGUGAAAAAAAUUCAGCGAGAGGGGUAACCUUAUUAGACACACCCUUACACACACUGGUGUGAAGAGUCAUGAGUGUGAAGAGUAAGGGAAGGGAUUCAGUGUGAAGCAGGCACUCAAUGAACACGUCUUCAGACACUAUGGCCUUAGAGAGUUUAAGUGUGAUGUUUGUGGAAAGCUCUUUAAGACAAGGGGUGACAUUGCCAGGCACAUAAAGAUCCACUUGAAGUGUGUCUGCCUACAGUAGUUAUAGUGACCAGGGUGUUAGCAGCAGCUGAGCCUGAUAGGGAAAGGGAAGUGAAGGAGAGGUAAAAGUGAUCUUGUAAGACAAGGAAGAAAGAAGGCUUGCCUGUGAAGUGAUAAAAGGAGAGGAGCCACAGCAAGAAGAGGAAGGGAAAUACUGAUGGCUGACUUUCCACAGCUGUGGCAGCUGCACCUGGGCCUGGAGCCUGGUUGAGUCUCACAGCUACAGUGAAUUACUUACUCCUCUGUGAGGUGAGGGGCAAGAGAAUGUCACCUAACACUAAAAUAGCUGGAACAUGUGUUUAUAAACCAUUGCUGCAGCAAAAGAAUCAAUGCCUUACAGAGGUGUGCUUCACCCAAGGGUACCACAGAUGCGAGGGCUUCCUGACAAUGAUGCUCCGUGCCCCUCCCUUGGGCUGUGUCGCCAACAGACAGGGAGGAAGUCAAGUGAAGGAAUAAACAGCUCUGAACACCUACAACCAUGCAAGGGCAACUGACAUUGCCUAGGAAAGUUGUUAUUUAAUGACAAUUAAAAAUAAAAGUCAUAUUGGAAAAGCUGAAUAUUAAAUGGAAUGAACAUCAACAUGUCAGAAGUGGCACUGUCGAGGCAACACUUGGAUCCAGCAGCAACAGUCUCAACUCAACUCUUCCUGGCCUUGUUGUUGGCAGGGUGUGCUGGUCUGUGCCUCCCUCCCCUGCAGCCUCCAUGCUGAGAAGGAACUGAGAGAGAGAGAGAGAGAGAGCCCGUGCAGUGACACAAGGCCACAGAGGUGACAGCAUCAGGAAGGUUGUUGCUGCUGCAUGGAGGCAGGGUGUGCUGGUCUGUGCCUCCCUCACUCUGUUCCUGCCAGGACUGCCUCUGAGUGGCCGUGGCAGUAUAGAUUCCUGACGUUCCUCACAAAGGGUUCUUCAGGCGCAAGAAGCUGGAGGAGAUGAAGGCACACCGGGCGAGGCUGCAGAGUGCCCACACCGGCGUCAGUAACCCAACAGCCACCGGAGAGUAGAGUCACAGCCGCCAGUGUACCUACGUAGUGUCUGUGUUGGGCUGGCCGGGUUAUCGUAGACACAGCGCCACGCCAAAGAUUCCCAAGUGUUGUAGUGACGUGUAAGUCUGUAUGGAGCUGGUGCAGUAUAGACACAUUUUUGCCGAUAUGUACAAAAAAGCAUUUUUCCCUUACAUUUCCUUCAAUAACUCUUAAACUACUACUUUCUAGACAAAAUACAAUAUGGAUGACAUUGUUGAGUGAAGA